ACCUAUACCCCGAAGGCCGCGCUCUUGCAGUGUGCGCUGGACGGGUGCUUUUAUUAGACCAAACCGCUGAGGGCGUGUUAGCCUCUCGGGGCGCACGCUUGACUCGCAUGAUGGUGACUCUGGAUAACCUUUGACAAGCGCACGUACCACUCUUUUGAGCGGACGGCGCUGCCACUUUUCGAGUGUCUGCCUUAUCAGCUAUCAACCGUUCGUUACGUGCGACCGAUGGCUUUGACGGGUAACGGGGAAUCAGGGUUCGAUUCCGGAGAGGCAGCCUGAGAGACGGCUACCACGUCCAAGGACGGCAGCAGGCGCGCAAAUUACCCAAUCCCAGCUCCUGGGGGAGGUAGUGACGAAAUCUAACGAUGCGGGCGCCCUUUCUAGGGCCCCG
This 391-nucleotide ribosomal RNA is filed under the name Crangonyx ephemerus. RNAcentral describes it as "SSU rRNA". It matches the Rfam family "Eukaryotic small subunit ribosomal RNA", at positions 173 to 505 of the family's 1831-position model. The record is from RNAcentral. Lineage: Eukaryota; Metazoa; Arthropoda; Malacostraca; Amphipoda; Crangonyctidae.